UGGGGAAUAUUGGACAAUGGGCGAAAGCCUGAUCCAGCCAUGCCGCGUGAGUGAUGAAGGCCUUAGGGUUGUAAAGCUCUUUUAGUAGGGAAGAUAAUGACGGUACCUACAGAAAAAGCCCCGGCUAACUUCGUGCCAGCAGCCGCGGUAAUACGAAGGGGGCUAGCGUUGUUCGGAUUUACUGGGCGUAAAGCGCACGUAGGCGGAUCGUUAAGUCGGGGGUGAAAUCCUGGAGCUCAAAUCCAGAACUGCCUUCGAUACUGGCGAUCUUGAGUCCGGAAGAGGUGAGUGGAACUCCUAGUGUAGAGGUGGAAUUCGUAGAUAUUAGGAAGAACACCAGUGGCGAAGGCGGCUCACUGGUCCGGUACUGACGCUGAGGUGCGAAAGCGUGGGGAGCAAACA
Molecule: ribosomal RNA, 402 nt
Filed under: uncultured prokaryote
Description: bacterial SSU rRNA
Rfam family: Bacterial small subunit ribosomal RNA
Source: RNAcentral